AUGUUGCAGUCCAUGGGGCUCUUGUCUGGUGGAGUCGGCCCUUCCUCCUGUGCUGUGUACCAGCUGCCCUGCACCUUCCCUGCCUAGCCCGGGCGUCAGCCACCUCUCCUCACUGCCUGUGGGUUAGGUCUGAAGACUGCAGCUGACCUGCCUGGCCACCAGGCUCCUCACUCCCCAGUGCCUCGGACCCAGCUCCCAGGUCAGCCUGGAGGGCUCUUUCCUGUCCUUGCAGGAGAAUGACCUCCUCUGAUGGACCUUCUUGUCACCAAGGCAUGGGAGUCCCCGUGCUUGCUGUCCCUGCACCUUCGAUGCUUACAAACUGUCCCAGAGAGCCUGUGCUCACUGUUUUCAUUUGAAGGAAGCUGUUGCUCUAAGGGUCACGAGGUGCUAAAGCCAGGGGCCCAGAUGGGUGGGUACUGGAAACAGGAGCUGGGCAGUGUGGUCUGUCACCUGCUCUCAACAUCUUCAGCAGUGCGCCCUGCAGACCCUGGACAGCAAGCUUGGGUUUUAUGGGUGGUGCCUGGCUAGGCACAUAGCCAGGCCAAGCCUAGGCCUCCAGGGGCUCCCCAAAAAUCUGAAUCUCUGAGUAGUCUUCAUCCCCUCUCCUGCUCUAAGGUCAGGCCCAUCCUCUCUGGUCCUUGCCUUGAUGACAAGGAUCCAGCCUUCUGGUGUUUUUGAGCAUUUCAAAGGUCUGCAUAGGAAGGAACAGCCUAGGUACAAACAGACAGGAAGCGGAGCUAUCCUGUGCCCUGACUGCUUCUCAGAACUGCUGCUUAACCACUGAGGACAGUGCUUAGCCCAGAGCUCCUGGGAGGCACACACAUCACGCUGGGGUUGGGUGUCCCUUGCAGACUCAGCCAGGGCAUGGCUUCCUCCUAAGGCAGCCAGGACCGGAGCUGAGCACAGGCACAGGUGUGGGCGACUCCUUGACUAACCCAGAGCAGCCAGCCUAGGCCUCAGAACAGGCUGACCCAGAACAGGGCGCAUGCCUAGGCCUCACACCAGGCUGGAAGACACCUCCACACUCCCUGCUUCUCCGCGGCAGAGGUGCUGUGCUGGCCCCAGGCCCACACUGAUCAUCUAGAUGCGGGGCUGGUAGAGAUGAUUUCCUCUGGAUGGUCUUCCAUGGUCCUCGUAGCACCUCACCUCUUUACCUCCAAAGGCUGCUCUGCAGCCCAAGGGAGGCCGUGCCACACUGCCAGCGACCUUGAAUAACCAGACACCGCCAUGCCCUGACACUGUGCUCACAAGGACCCUGCUCUGUUGCUGCCAUGGGGUGCCACUAUAUUUUGUAUUACACUUUGGUAUUACACUCUUUUUUAAAAUAGACUUGCGCUCUUAUAAAUGACAUGUAAAUAGUUCACCACUGUGCCCCUCUGGCACACCAUCAGCAUUCCCCUUUUUUCUCAGUCCAGUACAUUUUGUUUCUGUAUAUGACUCUGUUUUUUGAAUCCAAAUCUCUCUGUAGUAUUUUUUAAAUAAAUGUUUACAGAACUAUC
Molecule: RNA transcript, 1499 nt
Organism: Mus pahari (shrew mouse)
Lineage: Eukaryota; Metazoa; Chordata; Mammalia; Rodentia; Muridae
Exons: 2
Source: RefSeq, a predicted model, not a curated record